This is an RNA transcript of Scophthalmus maximus (turbot), 3008 nucleotides long. It is a transcript of the gene named proprotein convertase subtilisin/kexin type 6, with no coding region annotated. The transcript has 22 exons. NCBI's taxonomy places the organism in Eukaryota, Metazoa, Chordata, Actinopteri, Pleuronectiformes, Scophthalmidae. The record is from RefSeq and is a predicted model, not a curated record.
UCAGCUGAGAGGUCUUCACUGCGUAACCGGACAGCAGGUUGGAACAUGACGCGCUGGACUUUACGCCGCGCUGCUCGCUGAGCCCACAGCUCUCUGACUCUUGGGAUUUCUCGGGAGACACGAUGACUUUAUUCUUGCUUUUCAUUGGGACCUGGUACCACCUCGGGAUCGGCCCGUCAGUGGGCGCGGGGCACCGGGUCGUGUACACGAACCACUGGGCCGUGCGGGUCCCCGGCGGCCCCCAGCGAGCUGACAACAUCGCAGCCAAGUAUGGAUACAUCAACCUGGGAAAGUUACUGUUUGUCCCUGAAUUCAUCUUCCACCCUGUUGGGAGUUUGGAGGAUCAUUAUCAUUUCCACCACAGCAGAGUUGUUCGCAGAGCUUUGCACUCUGUGCGGGGCCCCCACAGCUUCAUCCGGAUGGAUCCCGAGGUGGACUGGGUCCAGCAACAGGUUGUAAAACCAAGAGUUAAGAGGAACGCCCAUGGCGACCCAAACGUCAUUCAUUUCAAUGACACCAAAUGGUCCAACAUGUGGUACAUUCACUGCAAUGAUAAGAGCAGCAGCUGUCGGUCAGAGAUGAACAUCCUAUCAGCCUGGCAGAGGGGCUACACUGGCAAAAAUGUGGUGGUCACCAUAUUGGAUGAUGGCAUUGAGAGGAACCACCCCGAUCUGGCUCAGAACUACGACCACCUCGCAAGUUAUGAUGUCAAUGGGAAUGACUUUGACCCUAUGCCACGCUAUGACUCCCGCAAUGAAAACAUACAUGGAACACGGUGUGCAGGUGAAGUUGCAGCAGUGGCCAACAACUCCCAUUGCAUUGUCGGCGUUGCCUACAAUGCUCACAUUGGAGGGAUUCGCAUGCUGGAUGGUGAUGUGACCGAUAUAGUAGAGGCCAAGUCCCUGGGAAUCCGACCUGACUAUAUUGACAUCUACAGUGCAAGCUGGGGGCCAAAGGAUGAUGGCAAGACGGUGGAUGGCCCAGGACCUCUAACCAAGCAGGCCUUUGAGCAAGGCAUCAGGAAGGGUCGCAAAGGCCUUGGGUCCAUUUUUGUCUGGGCGUCAGGUAACGGCGGCCGGCAGGGGGAUCACUGCUCGUGUGACGGUUACACCAGCAGUAUCUACACCAUCUCCAUCUCCAGCACCACAGAGAAUGGAAACAAGCCGUGGUACCUGGAGGUCUGCAGCUCCAUCAUGGCCACGACGUACAGCAGUGGGGAGUUUAACGAGAGGACAUUCGUGACUACUGACAUCUGGCAGCGCUGCACUGAUGCUCAUACUGGCACUUCAGUCUCUGCUCCAAUUGUGGCUGGAAUUAUAGCUCUCGCCCUGGAGGCCAAUCUUUUGCUGACAUGGAGGGAUGUUCAACAUCUUCUGGUAAAGACAUCCAGGCCAGUCCACCUGAAAGCUGACGAUUGGAAGACCAAUGCUGCCGGACACAGAGUCAGCCACCUGUAUGGUUUUGGCCUGGUGGAUGCAGAAGCCAUGGUGCUGGAGGCAACAAAGUGGAGGACUGUUCCCUCUCAGCACACCUGCAGUCAGGUGCCUUUGCGACGCUCCAGGUACAUCCAUGCUGGUCAAAGCCUCAACAGCAGCCUUACCACCUCUGGGUGUUCAGAAGAACCUGAGCAGCUCGUGGAGUAUAUGGAGCAUGUGGUGGUCAAGGUUAUGAUUAUCCACCCACGACGAGGAGACCUGGAGAUCAACCUCAUCUCCCCAUCUGGGACAAGAUCACAGCUACUGGCUAAGAGGCUUUUUGACAGUUCAAAUGAGGGCUUCAGGAACUGGGAGUUCAUGACGGUUCAUUUUUGGGGUGAGAGGGCAGCAGGCACAUGGACACUGGAGAUUACUGACACACCGUCAAAACCCCGCAACCCUGAGGUGCUUGGCAAUCUUAAAGAAUGGACACUGAUCCUUUAUGGCACAUCUCAUCACCCGUACCAGCCCGACAAAACUCAGCACUCCCCUACAAGAAUGUUAGCGGUCCCAGCCCCAGAUGAAGUCCUGCAGAAGCCAGAGCUCCAGGAGGAGGAGGAGGAGGAGGAGUACAAUGGACCAUGUCACCACGAGUGUGGAGACCAGGGCUGCGAUGGACCAGAUGUUGACCAUUGCCUGAACUGUGUCCACUUCAGUGCGGUCAGCUUGAAGAGUGGCAGAACCUGUGUGAGCCACUGUCCACUGGGACACUAUGAGGACACAGUGGCUCGCCGUUGUAGACGCUGCUACAAAGGCUGUGAGAGAUGCGUCGGCCAAUCAGCCGGACAGUGUCUUUCCUGUCGGAGAGGUCUUUACUUCGACACACUCAACUCCAGCUGCAUCGAUACCUGCCCCACAGGUUACUUUGCCGAUUGGAAUCAGAGACACUGUCUGAAGUGUCACAAGACCUGUAUGAGAUGCCUGGUGCAUGCAGAUGGAUGCAGUGCCUGCAUCGAAGGUUACAGUCUGGCAGGGAUGACCUGUGUUCCCGACUGCACCGAUGGAACCUUCUUCCAUUUGGAAGAGAUGACCUGCAGCCUGUGCCAUUCCUCUUGUAAGACCUGCACAGGACCAGGCAGGGAGGAGUGUAUCCAGUGCGCUGAGGGCCACCUGCAGCAGGAGUGGAGGUGUGCGCAGGCCUGUUCUCCUGGCUACUACUCUGCGGAGGCAGCAGGAGUCCCCCAUAAGAUGUGUCACAGGGGAGUGAUUCAUGGUGUGAGGAGAACUGUCUGAGCUGCAGUGGCCCAGGGACAACUUGCACCCAAUGCAAAGAGGGCUUUAGUCUGGUCAGCAGGACCUGUAUUGUGAAUGCAUCAUGCAGUAAUGCCGAUGAGGUGUUCUGUGACAUGGUCAAGUCCAACCGUCUCUGUGAGAAGAAGCUCUACCGUCAAUUCUGCUGCCAUACCUGUCUGUGGAAUGGAUGAGGAGCCAACCGUCUCCCGACACCACCUUCAUGCUUACUCCCAAUCAGUGUGAACAUAGCUUCCAUCUACUGCACCAAAUGUUCUUUUGAAUAAAGAAUUAGUGCUUUAA